GAUGAACGCUGGCGGCGUGCCUAAUACAUGCAAGUCGAGCGAACAGACGAGGAGCUUGCUCCUCUGACGUUAGCGGCGGACGGGUGAGUAACACGUGGAUAACCUACCUAUAAGACUGGGAUAACUUCGGGAAACCGGAGCUAAUACCGGAUAAUAUAUUGAACCGCAUGGUUCAAUAGUGAAAGACGGUUUUGCUGUCACUUAUAGAUGGAUCCGCGCCGCAUUAGCUAGUUGGUAAGGUAACGGCUUACCAAGGCAACGAUGCGUAGCCGACCUGAGAGGGUGAUCGGCCACACUGGAACUGAGCCACGGUCCAGACUCCUACGGGAGGCAGCAGUAGGGAAUCUUCCGCAAUGGGCGAAAGCCUGACGGAGCAACGCCGCGUGAGUGAUGAAGGUCUUCGGAGCGUAAAACUCUGUUAUGAGGGAAGAACAAAUGUGUAAGUAACUAUGCACGUCUUGACGGUACCUAAUCAGAAAGCCACGGCUAACUACGUG
Molecule: ribosomal RNA, 497 nt
Filed under: uncultured bacterium
Lineage: Bacteria
Description: partial 16S ribosomal RNA
Rfam family: Bacterial small subunit ribosomal RNA
Source: RNAcentral